Molecule: long non-coding RNA, 597 nt
Filed under: Aotus nancymaae (Ma's night monkey)
Lineage: Eukaryota; Metazoa; Chordata; Mammalia; Primates; Aotidae
Description: lncRNA (ENSANAG00000039129.1)
Source: RNAcentral
GGGUUACUCAGAUAGGAGUUGGAGAAGUGGAGUCAGAGAGGAGCCCUAUGGAGGCUCCAGGGCCUGUGAUCAGGCUAGGCUGAGGCCAGAGGAAAUGCCAUCCCACCUGCAAGCCUGCUCAACCUCUUCAGACCCAGGAUGGGAGCAUCAAGGAAGAACUACAGCUGCCAGCACCACCCCAGCCCCAACUUCAGUCAUGGCCACUCCUCAGGUCACUGAAGGGACCCCGGUUAUGCGGGGACCCCACUCCCUCCCUCCAGUGUCUCCUCAGGACACAGCUCACCGUGCAGUUUCCUGAAGCUCUUUCUGGGUCAAGAUCUGAUCAGGAUUCCAACAUUAAGAGGAGCCAGCAGAGAGCUGUCUUUGUACCCUGGCUCUGAGGAAGUUUUGUGGGAUAGACCGCGUGUGGCCUGAAAGAGCUCGCAUUUCAGGGAACGCCUGGGCUCGAUGCCUGUUAUCUUGUUCAGUGCCUCUGAUUAUAAAUUAAUAAACUGGAAUCUCACCAACAAUUGGUCUCAUGUGAGUUUGGCAUGUGUGCACCCACUUCUCGGAGGCUGACUGUCUCAAGGAAAAAAAAUUAAACCGUUUCCUGGCCAG